Amphimedon queenslandica is the source of this 179-nucleotide long non-coding RNA. RefSeq lists it as uncharacterized. The transcript is spliced from 2 exons. Lineage: Eukaryota; Metazoa; Porifera; Demospongiae; Haplosclerida; Niphatidae. The record is from RefSeq and is a predicted model, not a curated record.
AUCAUACAAUGAUACAGCAGUUAUUGAACUCAGAUAUACUAGUGAUAAUGAUUGGUCUACUAGUGUAAUACCUCUGGACCAGUACCAAGAUCAACUAAGAAGAAGGAUACUGAGUGAUUGGAAGAAUUUAGGAACAGAAAAACAGCUUCAAAUAUUUCAAGAUCGUCUGCAAUUACAAA